Long non-coding RNA from Oncorhynchus mykiss (rainbow trout), 1194 nucleotides. NCBI's taxonomy places the organism in Eukaryota, Metazoa, Chordata, Actinopteri, Salmoniformes, Salmonidae. The record is from Ensembl.
UGGUUUGGGGGCUAUACUCAGCCUGGUCUCAGGGUAGUAGGGUGGUGGUUGGUAGAUAUCCCUCUAGUGGUGUGGGGGCUAUAUUCAGCCUUGUCUCAGGAUAGUAGGGUGGUAGAUAUCCCUCUAGUGGUGUGGGGGCUAUACUCAGCCUGGUCUCAGGGUAGUAGGGUGGUAGAUAUCCCUCUAGUGGUGUGGGGGCUAUACUCAGCCUUGUCUCAGGGUAGUGGGGUGGUAGAUAUCCCUCUAGCAGUGUGGGGGCUAUACUCAGCCUGGUCUCAGGGUAGUAGGUUGGUAGAUAUCCAUCUAGUGGUGUGGGGGCUAUACUCAGCCUGGUCUCAGGGUAGUAGGGUGGUAGAUAACCCUCUAGUGGUGCGGGGGCUAUACUCAGCCUGGUCUCAGGGUAGUAGGGUGGUAGAUAUCCCUCUAGCGGUGUGGAAGCUAUAUUCAGCCUUGUCUCAGGGUAGUAGGGUGGUAGAUAUCCCUCUAGUGGUUUGGGGGCUAUACUCAGCCUGGUCUCAGGGUAGUAGGGUGGUAGAUAUCCCUCUAGUGGUGUGGGGGCUAUACUCAGCCUGGUCUCAGGGUAGUAGGGUGGUAGAUAACCCUCUAGUGGUGCGGGGGCUAUACUCAGCCUGGUCUCAGGGUAGUAGGGUGGUAGAUAUCCCUCUAGCGGUGUGGAAGCUAUAUUCAGCCUUGUCUCAGGGUAGUAGGGUGGUAGAUAUCCCUCUAGUGGUGUGGGGGCUAUACUCAGCCUGGUCUCAGGGUAGUAGGGUGGUAGAUAUCCCUCUAGUGGUGUGGGGGCUAUACUCAGCCUUGUAUCAGGGUAGUGGGGUGGUAGAUAUCCCUCUAGCAGUGUGGGGGCUAUACUCAGCCUGGUCUCAGGGUAGUAGGUUGGUAGAUAUCCAUCUAGUGGUGUGGGGGCUAUACUCAGCCUGGUCUCAGGGUAGUAGGGUGGUAGAUAACCCUCUAGUGGUGCGGGGGCUAUACUCAGCCUGGUCUCAGGGUAGUAGGGUGGUAGAUAUCCCUCUAGCGGUGUGGAAGCUAUAUUCAGCCUUGUCUCAGGGUAGUAGGGUGGUAGAUAUCCCUCUAGUGGUGUGGGGGCUAUACUCAGCCUGGUCUCAGGGUAGUAAGUUGGUGGUCUGUUUAUAUCCAUCUAGUAGUGUGCGGGCUGUGCUUUGGCAUAGUGGGUGGGGUUAA